Molecule: ribosomal RNA, 468 nt
Filed under: uncultured bacterium
Lineage: Bacteria
Description: partial 16S ribosomal RNA
Rfam family: Bacterial small subunit ribosomal RNA
Source: RNAcentral
GACGAACGCUGGCGGCGUGCUUAACACAUGCAAGUCGAACGGAAAGGCCCUGCUUUUGUGGGGUGCUCGAGUGGCGAACGGGUGAGUAACACGUGAGUAACCUGCCCUUGACUUUGGGAUAACUUCAGGAAACUGGGGCUAAUACCGGAUAGGAGCUCCUGCUGCAUGGUGGGGGUUGGAAAGUUUCGGCGGUUGGGGAUGGACUCGCGGCUUAUCAGCUUGUUGGUGGGGUAGUGGCUUACCAAGGCUUUGACGGGUAGCCGGCCUGAGAGGGUGACCGGCCACAUUGAGCCUGAGAUACGGCCCAGACUCCUACGGGAGGCAGCAGUGGGGAAUAUUGCACAAUGGGCGGAAGCCUGAUGCAGCAACGCCGCGUGCGGGAUGACGGCCUUCGGGUUGUAAACCGCUUUCGCCUGUGACGAAGCGUGAGUGACGGUAAUGGGUAAAGAAGCACCGGCUAACUACGUG